This 855-nucleotide ribosomal RNA is filed under the name Bacillus pumilus. RNAcentral's name for it is "bacterial SSU rRNA". It matches the Rfam family "Bacterial small subunit ribosomal RNA", at positions 382 to 1231 of the family's 1533-position model. Lineage: Bacteria; Bacillati; Bacillota; Bacilli; Caryophanales; Bacillaceae. The record is from RNAcentral.
UCUGACGGAGCACGCCGCGUGAGUGAUGAAGGUUUUCGGAUCGUAAAGCUCUGUUGUUAGGGAAGAACAAGUGCAAGAGUAACUGCUUGCACCUUGACGGUACCUAACCAGAAAGCCACGGCUAACUACGUGCCAGCAGCCGCGGUAAUACGUAGGUGGCAAGCGUUGUCCGGAAUUAUUGGGCGUAAAGGGCUCGCAGGCGGUUUCUUAAGUCUGAUGUGAAAGCCCCCGGCUCAACCGGGGAGGGUCAUUGGAAACUGGGAAACUUGAGUGCAGAAGAGGAGAGUGGAAUUCCACGUGUAGCGGUGAAAUGCGUAGAGAUGUGGAGGAACACCAGUGGCGAAGGCGACUCUCUGGUCUGUAACUGACGCUGAGGAGCGAAAGCGUGGGGAGCGAACAGGAUUAGAUACCCUGGUAGUCCACGCCGUAAACGAUGAGUGCUAAGUGUUAGGGGGUUUCCGCCCCUUAGUGCUGCAGCUAACGCAUUAAGCACUCCGCCUGGGGAGUACGGUCGCAAGACUGAAACUCAAAGGAAUUGACGGGGGCCCGCACAAGCGGUGGAGCAUGUGGUUUAAUUCGAAGCAACGCGAAGAACCUUACCAGGUCUUGACAUCCUCUGACAACCCUAGAGAUAGGGCUUUCCCUUCGGGGACAGAGUGACAGGUGGUGCAUGGUUGUCGUCAGCUCGUGUCGUGAGAUGUUGGGUUAAGUCCCGCAACGAGCGCAACCCUUGAUCUUAGUUGCCAGCAUUCAGUUGGGCACUCUAAGGUGACUGCCGGUGACAAACCGGAGGAAGGUGGGGAUGACGUCAAAUCAUCAUGCCCCUUAUGACCUGGGCUACACACGUGCUACAAU